AGUAUACAUUUUUUGAAGUUUUUAGGGCAUUUUUGCAUUUUUUUUAGGGCAUUUUUGUGUGUUUUUUAGGUCAUCAACAUCCUAACUCUACUGAUCAUUAUAUCUUAAAUAAUGGUUCUGCUAAAUGUAAAUUUGCUAUAUUGUACUUAUAAGACAGAUGGAUUAAAAUAGUUGAAGAAGAAGAGAAAAUAAUACUGGAAGAUCGGGUUGGCAGACGGUUAUCAACCAUUAAAAUGAAUGAUUAUAAGAUGUUGAAUUCAUAUGAAUUCAUUAAUGAUAUUCUUAUAGACUUUUAUUUAAAUAAUUGGUAUACUAAAAAAUUAAGUUAGGAAGAUAGAGAACGAACCACACUACACAGCAUCACAGAUAAGACACGGAAAAGUAAGAAAAUGGACGAAAAAUGUAGACAUAUUCCAGAAAGAUUUUGUUUUUAUACCUGUGAAUGAAAAUAAACAUUGGUUUUUAGCGGUAAUUUGUUUUCCGUACCUAUCAGGUAAAGUUAAUAUGAGAGAUGGAACUCCAGUAAAUGAACCUUAUGAUGAUGCUGGUGGAUAUCCAUGGCCACGCAUUACAUAUUCUGCUGUUCGUGAUCGUAGUGAAGCUGACUCUAAUGAUGAAGAUCUUUGUUUGUUUGAUAUGGCAUCAAGAGUAAGAAUUUUUUUACUAAUAAUCCAACGCAAAGCGCCCUAGGGGAAGACCUCGGCAACGAUGGCGGAAUAGAGUCAAUGCAGUUGCACACCAUAUUGUUGGUCCAACCGGGAAUUGAUCCGGAAACAAGAAUAUGUAUCAGUUACAAUUCUCUUGAAGAAUGCAUGAAUGGAAUUUGUGGGUUCUAUGAAGCAUGUCUGAUGAACUUAAAUCCAACUGUCACAACUUUUACGUAUGAAAUAAUUCAGCUGUUUGAUUUUCUUGACAAUCUAACACAUAUUUCAUGUCUUGUGUAUCAACCAGAUACCAUGAUGUAUGUCCAAUUAGACAAACAAAUGAUAAAAGUGGAGUUAUUUAUCCAAUUGGGAUGUCAAACUAAUCAACGUCCAUAAACAUUAUGAGUAUAAUGAAAUGUUUAAUUAUAAUAUUAUGAGGCUGUUUUUUCCAUAAGCAAUGUACAAGUUAUUCUUUGUUAUUUGUCAAAUAUUCCAAAUCUCAGA
Aphis gossypii (cotton aphid) is the source of this 1148-nucleotide long non-coding RNA. RefSeq lists it as uncharacterized. Lineage: Eukaryota; Metazoa; Arthropoda; Insecta; Hemiptera; Aphididae. The transcript is spliced from 10 exons. The record is from RefSeq and is a predicted model, not a curated record.